CAAUAGCGUAUAUUAAAGUUGUUGCAGUUAAAAAGCUCGUAGCUGGAUUUCGGAGCCGACCGGGCGGUCUGUCGAGAGACACGCACUGCUCGGUGGCUCUUCCUCUCGGAGGCCCUGGCUGCCCUUAACUGGAGCGGGCAGGGGAUUCGGGACGUUUACUUUGAAAAAAUUAGAGUGUUCAAAGCAGGCCGGUGCUUGGAUACAUUAGCAUGGAAUAAUGGAAUAGGGCUUGGGUCCUAUUUUGUUGGUUUUCGGGACCGAGGUCAUGGUUAAGAGGGACAGUUGGGGGCAUUCGUAUUCAAUUGUCAGAGGUGAAAUUCUUGGAUUUAUGGAAGACGAACAACUGCGAAAGCAUUUGCCAAGGAUGUUUUCAUUAA
This 377-nucleotide ribosomal RNA is filed under the name uncultured eukaryote. RNAcentral describes it as "partial 18S ribosomal RNA". It matches the Rfam family "Eukaryotic small subunit ribosomal RNA", at positions 592 to 976 of the family's 1831-position model. The record is from RNAcentral.